UCAGAUUGAACGCUGGCGGCAGGCCUAACACAUGCAAGUCGAGCGGUAGCACAGAGAGCUUGCUCUCGGGUGACGAGCGGCGGACGGGUGAGUAAUGUCUGGGAAACUGCCUGAUGGAGGGGGAUAACUACUGGAAACGGUAGCUAAUACCGCAUAAUGUCGCAAGACCAAAGUGGGGGACCUUCGGGCCUCAUGCCAUCAGAUGUGCCCAGAUGGGAUUAGCUAGUAGGUGGGGUAACGGCUCACCUAGGCGACGAUCCCUAGCUGGUCUGAGAGGAUGACCAGCCACACUGGAACUGAGACACGGUCCAGACUCCUACGGGAGGCAGCAGUGGGGAAUAUUGCACAAUGGGCGCAAGCCUGAUGCAGCCAUGCCGCGUGUGUGAAGAAGGCCUUCGGGUUGUAAAGCACUUUCAGCGGGGAGGAAGGCGGUAAGGUUAAUAACCUCAUCGAUUGACGUUACCCGCAGAAGAAGCACCGGCUAACUCCGUGCCAGCAGCCGCGGUAAUACGGAGGGUGCAAGCGUUAAUCGGAAUUACUGGGCGUAAAGCGCACGCAGGCGGUCUGUCAAGUCGGAUGUGAAAUCCCCGGGCUCAACCUGGGAACUGCAUUCGAAACUGGCAGGCUAGAGUCUUGUAGAGGGGGGUAGAAUUCCAGGUGUAGCGGUGAAAUGCGUAGAGAUCUGGAGGAAUACCGGUGGCGAAGGCGGCCCCCUGGACAAAGACUGACGCUCAGGUGCGAAAGCGUGGGGAGCAAACAGGAUUAGAUACCCUGGUAGUCCACGCCGUAAACGAUGUCGAUUUGGAGGUUGUGCCCUUGAGGCGUGGCUUCCGGAGCUAACGCGUUAAAUCGACCGCCUGGGGAGUACGGCCGCAAGGUUAAAACUCAAAUGAAUUGACGGGGGCCCGCACAAGCGGUGGAGCAUGUGGUUUAAUUCGAUGCAACGCGAAGAACCUUACCUGGUCUUGACAUCCACAGAACUUUCCAGAGAUGGAUUGGUGCCUUCGGGAACUGUGAGACAGGUGCUGCAUGGCUGUCGUCAGCUCGUGUUGUGAAAUGUUGGGUUAAGUCCCGCAACGAGCGCAACCCUUAUCCUUUGUUGCCAGCGGUCCGGCCGGGAACUCAAAGGAGACUGCCAGUGAUAAACUGGAGGAAGGUGGGGAUGACGUCAAGUCAUCAUGGCCCUUACGACCAGGGCUACACACGUGCUACAAUGGCAUAUACAAAGAGAAGCGACCUCGCGAGAGCAAGCGGACCUCAUAAAGUAUGUCGUAGUCCGGAUUGGAGUCUGCAACUCGACUCCAUGAAGUCGGAAUCGCUAGUAAUCGUAGAUCAGAAUGCUACGGUGAAUACGUUCCCGGGCCUUGUACACACCGCCCGUCACACCAUGGGAGUGGGUUGCAAAAGAAGUAGGUAGCUUAACCUUCGGGAGGGCGCUUACCACUUUGUGAUUCAUGACUGGGGUGAAGUCGUAACAAGGUAACCGUAGGGGAACCUGCGGCUGGAUCACCU
Molecule: ribosomal RNA, 1512 nt
Filed under: Klebsiella sp. ok1_1_9_S54
Lineage: Bacteria; Pseudomonadati; Pseudomonadota; Gammaproteobacteria; Enterobacterales; Enterobacteriaceae
Description: bacterial SSU rRNA
Rfam family: Bacterial small subunit ribosomal RNA
Source: RNAcentral